GACGAACGCUGGCGGCGUGCUUAACACAUGCAAGUCGAACGGUGAAGGGACCGGUUUUUGCUGGUUCUGGAUGAGUGGCGAACGGGUGAGUAACACGUGAGUAACCUGCCCCCUUCUUCUGGAUAACCGCAUGAAAGUGUGGCUAAUACGGGAUAUUCUGCGCCUGCUGCAUGGUGGGUGUGGGAAAGAUAUUGUUUCGGUGGGGGAUGGGCUCGCGGCCUAUCAGCUUGUUGGUGGGGUGAUGGCCUACCAAGGCGGUGACGGGUAGCCGGCCUGAGAGGGUGGAUGGUCACACUGGGACUGAGACACGGCCCAGACUCCUACGGGAGGCAGCAGUGGGGAAUAUUGCACAAUGGGCGCAAGCCUGAUGCAGCGACGCCGCGUGAGGGAUGGAGGCCUUCGGGUUGUAAACCUCUUUCGCCAGUGAAGCAGGCCUGUCCCUUUUGUGGGUGGGUUGACGGUAGCUGGAUAAGAAGCGCCGGCUAACUACGUG
Molecule: ribosomal RNA, 493 nt
Filed under: uncultured bacterium
Lineage: Bacteria
Description: partial 16S ribosomal RNA
Rfam family: Bacterial small subunit ribosomal RNA
Source: RNAcentral